Molecule: ribosomal RNA, 224 nt
Filed under: Providencia stuartii
Lineage: Bacteria; Pseudomonadati; Pseudomonadota; Gammaproteobacteria; Enterobacterales; Morganellaceae
Description: partial 23S ribosomal RNA
Rfam family: Bacterial large subunit ribosomal RNA
Source: RNAcentral
CGGCGAGGGGAGUGAAAUAGAACCUGAAACCGUGUACGUACAAGCAGUGGGAGCCCCACCACUAAGCCAGUGGUGAGUCAUCACAGCGUCAUCCUUACUUGAUGGCGGUUGGCGGAACGUCCUUUGUGACGCCCAACCCAAAAAAUCAAGCAAAGGGGGCUUAGUGGUGGGGUGACUGCGUACCUUUUGUAUAAUGGGUCAGCGACUUAUAUUCUGUAGCAAGG